This 502-nucleotide ribosomal RNA is filed under the name Ditylenchus sp. 8 JH-2014. Its description in RNAcentral is "SSU rRNA". It matches the Rfam family "Eukaryotic small subunit ribosomal RNA", at positions 88 to 590 of the family's 1831-position model. The record is from RNAcentral. Lineage: Eukaryota; Metazoa; Nematoda; Chromadorea; Rhabditida; Anguinidae.
CGCGAAUAGCUCAUUACAACAGCUAUAAUUCACUUGAUCUUGACAUAUCCUACUUGGAUAACUGUGGUAAUUCUAGAGCUAAUACAUGCACUAAAGCCCUGACCUUACGGAAGGGGUGCAUUUAUUAGAACAAAACCAAGCCGCUUGCGGUUUUUUGUUGACUCAGAAUAACUCAGCUGAUCGCAUGGUCUUGUACCGGCGACGUGUCUUUCGAGUAUCUGCCUUAUCAACUUUCGAUGGUAGUGUAUCUGACUACCAUGGUGGUGACGGGUAACGGAGGAUAAGGGUUCGACUCCGGAGAAGGCGCCUGAGAAAUGGCGACUACGUCUAAGGAAGGCAGCAGGCGCGAAAAUUACCCACUCUCAGCACGAGGAGGUAGUGACGAAAAAUAACGAGACCGUUCUCUUAUGAGGCCGGUCAUCGGAAUGGGUACAAUUUAAACCCUUUAACGAGUAUCUAUGAGAGGGCAAGUCUGGUGCCAGCAGCCGCGGUAAUUCCAGCU